This 449-nucleotide long non-coding RNA is filed under the name Polistes fuscatus (common paper wasp). RNAcentral's name for it is "uncharacterized LOC122513624". Lineage: Eukaryota; Metazoa; Arthropoda; Insecta; Hymenoptera; Vespidae. The record is from RNAcentral.
UUCCAUGUUGGUUUAUGAAAUCGAACAAGUGGUUCGGUGAUAAUCGAGAGAGUUCGAUUACGUUAUCCGCUACCACGACCGAUCAUCGCCAUUGCUUUAUUGCCAAAUCCAAUUGCUCCGCGCUCGAGCGAACACUCAUGUAUAAACAAACUCCGGGCAUAUAUAUCGGGCUUGAACAAAGUGCUCUGCGAGUAACAAUUGAGAGAAAGAUAGAUAUGACGAUAUAUGUAUAUCGUUGAACUGCGUUGCAGUUAUUAAGAAUGAAUAAACAAAAAAUUAUAUGCAAAAAAUAUAUAAAUCUGUUCGUCCGGAUGAGCUGACGAUGAAAAUAAUGAAAACACGAACCGAUUAUUGGUUGUGCAGAAAGCCGCGAAACGCGACCGCGACGCGAAACGACAUGACGAACGGACGAACGUAAAUGACAAUACUGGACACACCUAAUAUCAAAA